Molecule: long non-coding RNA, 524 nt
Organism: Labeo rohita (rohu)
Lineage: Eukaryota; Metazoa; Chordata; Actinopteri; Cypriniformes; Cyprinidae
Exons: 4
Source: RefSeq, a predicted model, not a curated record
AUUCCGUCCAGUGGUUGUGAUUACACGACUGCUAAGGAAUGUGAGUAAAUGAAAAAUAAAGCUGCACUGAUCUUGUGAUAAUGCUGAUAAAAAGGGCCAGUCAAGGAUCCAGGAUCAUAAAUAGCCUCUACAUCGCUUGUCCUCUGAAGAAGACUCACACAUCAUGCUUGAACUGUCAGCAUCAAUGAGAAUCAUUGUAAAGGUGGUCAUGCUUCUGACUGGACUCUGUUUCUUGGGCAUUUAUCAAUGGAAAGACAUAUCUGAAAAUGUCACUGUGGACACCAAAACUCUCGACCAUAUUAUUGAUUUCUUUGAGCAGAACUUUAACAGGCUUCAGAGAGCCGAUGAUGGCCAUCAGUACACAUCAAUGUGCCAAAGCAUCUGUGUCAACCGGACUUCCAUCGUGCACAGAAUGAAUUCCUGACUUAGGAGAAUGCCACAAAUAUAAAAAAUGCUAUUACUGAUGAAGGCAAGGCGCAAAUUAUACCCCUGAAAAAGUGGAGAAGAUUAAGCACACAGCAAAC